GGGCCAGUGGUCUAACGGUAUGACGCAACCUCCGCAAGGUUGAGGCUUCGGGUUCAAUUCCCGACUGGUCCA
RNAcentral lists this transfer RNA (72 nucleotides) under Candidatus Aenigmatarchaeota archaeon. Its description in RNAcentral is "tRNA-Ala". It matches the Rfam family "tRNA". From Rfam's summary of the family: Transfer RNA (tRNA) molecules are approximately 80 nucleotides in length. Their secondary structure includes four short double-helical elements and three loops (D, anti-codon, and T loops). Lineage: Archaea; Nanobdellati; Candidatus Aenigmatarchaeota. The record is from RNAcentral.